Molecule: long non-coding RNA, 216 nt
Filed under: Carica papaya (papaya)
Lineage: Eukaryota; Viridiplantae; Streptophyta; Magnoliopsida; Brassicales; Caricaceae
Description: long non-coding RNA (CPAP_LNC011057)
Source: RNAcentral
GUCUUAGCAUCGUGACCCAGCCAUAGAUGUCAACACGAAGGCCCUUUAGAAACUUCCUACCUUUUCGACUUUCGGGGGUGACCAUUAGAGAGGCAAACCUAGACAGUUGGAUGAAAUGGGCUGCAUACUGGACAACUGUUAGAUUUUCGUAGCGAAGUUCCUGAAAUUCCUCCUCUUUCUUUUCUCAGACAUAGGCAGGAAAAAAAUUAUCAAAGA